RNAcentral lists this ribosomal RNA (1180 nucleotides) under Salmonella enterica subsp. enterica serovar Derby. Its description in RNAcentral is "partial 23S ribosomal RNA". It matches the Rfam family "Bacterial large subunit ribosomal RNA", at positions 1 to 1211 of the family's 2925-position model. Lineage: Bacteria; Pseudomonadati; Pseudomonadota; Gammaproteobacteria; Enterobacterales; Enterobacteriaceae. The record is from RNAcentral.
GGGUUGUGAGGUUAAGCGACUAAGCGUACACGGUGGAUGCCCUGGCAGUCAGAGGCGAUGAAGGGCGUGCUAAUCUGCGAUAAGCGCCGGUAAGGUGAUAUGAACCGUUAUAACCGGCGAUACCCGAAUGGGGAAACCCAGUGUGAUUCGUCACACUAUCAUUAACUGAAUCCAUAGGUUAAUGAGGCGAACCGGGGGAACUGAAACAUCUAAGUACCCCGAGGAAAAGAAAUCAACCGAGAUUCCCCCAGUAGCGGCGAGCGAACGGGGAGGAGCCCAGAGCCUGAAUCAGCAUGUGUGUUAGUGGAAGCGUCUGGAAAGGCGCGCGAUACAGGGUGACAGCCCCGUACACAAAAGCGCAUGUGCUGUGAGCUCGAUGAGUAGGGCGGGACACGUGGUAUCCUGUCUGAAUAUGGGGGGACCAUCCUCCAAGGCUAAAUACUCCUGACUGACCGAUAGUGAACCAGUACCGUGAGGGAAAGGCGAAAAGAACCCCGGCGAGGGGAGUGAAAAAGAACCUGAAACCGUGUACGUACAAGCAGUGGGAGCACAGGUUUACCUGUGUGACUGCGUACCUUUUGUAUAAUGGGUCAGCGACUUAUAUUCUGUAGCAAGGUUAACCGUAUAGGGGAGCCGCAGGGAAACCGAGUCUUAAUUGGGCGUUAAGUUGCAGGGUAUAGACCCGAAACCCGGUGAUCUAGCCAUGGGCAGGUUGAAGGUUGGGUAACACUAACUGGAGGACCGAACCGACUAAUGUUGAAAAAUUAGCGGAUGACCUGUGGCUGGGGGUGAAAGGCCAAUCAAACCGGGAGAUAGCUGGUUCUCCCCGAAAGCUAUUUAGGUAGCGCCUCGUGAAUUCAUCUCCGGGGGUAGAGCACUGUUUCGGCUAGGGGGCCAUCCCGGCUUACCAACCCGAUGCAAACUGCGAAUACCGGAGAAUGUUAUCACGGGAGACACACGGCGGGUGCUAACGUCCGUCGUGAAGAGGGAAACAACCCAGACCGCCAGCUAAGGUCCCAAAGUCAUGGUUAAGUGGGAAACGAUGUGGGAAGGCCCAGACAGCCAGGAUGUUGGCUUAGAAGCAGCCAUCAUUUAAAGAAAGCGUAAUAGCUCACUGGUCGAGUCGGCCUGCGCGGAAGAUGUAACGGGGCUAAACCAUGCACCGAAGCUGCGGCAGCGA